This 396-nucleotide long non-coding RNA is filed under the name Homo sapiens (human). RNAcentral's name for it is "HSALNT0007763". The record is from RNAcentral. Lineage: Eukaryota; Metazoa; Chordata; Mammalia; Primates; Hominidae.
GAAACCUUUCAUAACUGCUAGCAGGAGGGCCUGGAAGUACAACUCGUCCUCACCCCUGGGUUGUAGGGAAAGAAGGGAAAGUCCGACAUCAUCACCAAGGAUGUAAGAGAAAAGAUCUUCAAAAAGAAGGGAUUGGUCAGUGUGUUGAAUUUGCGGAGAAAAAAUGAGAUAAGAACAGAGAAGUGGUACUUGGAGUUAUCAGUGUGGAAGUCACUGGUGAUCUCAGAGUAUCUCAGUUGAGUGGCUAGAAAGGAAGCUUGAUUGUGGUAUGCUGAAGAAAUGGGAGUUGAAGUGGAGACAGCAACUAAAGUUGGUUGAAUCUGUAGUUGCGGAAUACAAAGAUGCAGAGGACUGACUGUCCUGUGACUCCCUCCAGCUUGCUGUGCAAUCACAGGU